GUGUCAGCAGCCGCGGUAAUACGGAGGGGGUUAGCGUUGUUCGGAAUGACUGGGCGUAAAGCGCGCGUAGGCGGGCUGGAAAGUUGGGGGUGAAAUCCCGGGGCUCAACCCCGGAAUGGCCUUCAAAACUCCCAGCCUAGAGUUCGAGAGAGGUGAGUGGAAUUCCGAGUGUAGAGGUGAAAUUCGUAGAUAUUCGGAGGAACACCAGUGGCGAAGGCGGCUCACUGGCUCGACACUGACGCUGAGGUGCGAAAGCGUGGGGAGCAAACAGGAUUAGAAACCCCCGUAGUCC
RNAcentral lists this ribosomal RNA (292 nucleotides) under uncultured bacterium. RNAcentral describes it as "partial 16S ribosomal RNA". It matches the Rfam family "Bacterial small subunit ribosomal RNA", at positions 505 to 796 of the family's 1533-position model. The record is from RNAcentral.